ACGGCCAUACCUAGGAGAAAACACCAGUUCCCGUCCGAUCACUGCAGUUAAGCGUCUGAGGGCCUCGUUAGUACUAUGGUUGGAGACAACAUGGGAAUCCGGGGUGCUGUAGGCU
Molecule: ribosomal RNA, 115 nt
Filed under: Schizosaccharomyces octosporus yFS286
Lineage: Eukaryota; Fungi; Ascomycota; Schizosaccharomycetes; Schizosaccharomycetales; Schizosaccharomycetaceae
Source: RNAcentral